Rattus rattus (black rat) is the source of this 345-nucleotide long non-coding RNA. RefSeq lists it as uncharacterized. The transcript is spliced from 2 exons. Lineage: Eukaryota; Metazoa; Chordata; Mammalia; Rodentia; Muridae. The record is from RefSeq and is a predicted model, not a curated record.
CUUACCAGCUGCCAGAGAGAAAAGCAAUACUCCCAGGGACCACCAGUCAGCAGUGUGGUUGUAAGGCCCACCACUCAAGACCUCUGGGGCUAUGGCAUGAAAGGAACCCAAAUCAACUAUCUGCUUCCUACUGCCUUCUCAGACCUGUUGAAACGUCUUGGAUUCUUGUUCAACCUAAGAAAGAAGACUUAACUCUACCUUUACAUCACGAUGGAUGAUGCCCAAGUCAUGGAGAUAGCCUGUGGAGAACAGUGAGCAUGGCUGUGUCUGCCAGUUUCUUUGUAGCCCCUAUCCCAUCUCUACCCUGGCUUCCAAAAUUAAAUAUUCUAUUUUCUUCCCCACUAA